AUUGAACGCUGGCGGCAGGCCUAACACAUGCAAGUCGAACGAGUGGCGGACGGGUGAGUAAUGUCUGGGAAACUGCCCGAUGGAGGUGGAUAACUACUGGAAACGGUAGCUAAUACCGCAUACCAUCGGAUGUGCCCAGAUGGGAUUAGCUAGUAGGUGGGGUAACGGCUCACCUAGGCGACGAUCCCUAGCUGGUCUGAGAGGAUGAACAGCCCCACUGGAAGUGAGACACGGUCCAGACUCAUACGGGAGGCAGCAGUGGGGAAUAGUGCACAAUGGACGCAAGCCUGAUGCAGCCAUGCCGCGUGUAUGAAGAAGGGCUGCGGGUUGUAAAGUACUUUCAGCGAGGAGGCGUUACUCGCAGAAGAAGCACCGGCUAACUCCGUGCCAGCAGCCGCGGUAAUAC
This 406-nucleotide ribosomal RNA is filed under the name uncultured bacterium. Its description in RNAcentral is "partial 16S ribosomal RNA". It matches the Rfam family "Bacterial small subunit ribosomal RNA", at positions 30 to 526 of the family's 1533-position model. The record is from RNAcentral.